GACGAAGGUGGCGAGCGUUACUCGGAAUUACUAGGCGUAAAGCGUGGGCAGGCGGUUUGGUAAGUCUGUUGUGAAAGCUCCGGGCUCAACCCGGAGAGGCCAAUGGAUACUGCCAGACUUGGAUGUGGGAGAGGUGACUGGAAUUCCUGGUGUAGCGGUGAAAUGCGUAGAUAUCAGGAGGAACACCGAUGGCGAAGGCAGGUCACUGGACCACUAUCGACGCUCAUCCACGAAAGCUGGGGGAUCAAACAGG
This 253-nucleotide ribosomal RNA is filed under the name uncultured bacterium. Its description in RNAcentral is "partial 16S ribosomal RNA". It matches the Rfam family "Bacterial small subunit ribosomal RNA", at positions 524 to 776 of the family's 1533-position model. The record is from RNAcentral.